UACGAAGGGGACUAGCGUUGUUCGGAAUUACUGGGCGUAAAGCGCGCGUAGGCGGAUCGCUAAGUCAGGGGUGAAAUCCCAGGGCUCAACCCUGGAACUGCCUUUGAUACUGACGAUCUGGAGAUCGGGAGAGGUGAGUGGAAUUCCGAGUGUAGAGGUGAAAUUCGUAGAUAUUCGGAGGAACACCAGAAGCGAAGGCGGCUCACUGGCCCGAUACUGACGCUGAGGCGCGAAAGCGUGGGGAGCGAACAGG
RNAcentral lists this ribosomal RNA (253 nucleotides) under uncultured bacterium. Its description in RNAcentral is "partial 16S ribosomal RNA". It matches the Rfam family "Bacterial small subunit ribosomal RNA", at positions 524 to 776 of the family's 1533-position model. The record is from RNAcentral.